GGUAUGAAAGGGUUAACGAAGAAGGUGCUGUGUCUAAAAACUCAAUUUAAACUAACUUUAAGGUGAAGAGGCCUUUAUGUAAAAGAAGGACGACAAGACCCUAUGAAGCUUUAUCUUAAUUGGAGCUCUCAGGCUCUUAUACGAUUUUGAUGGGAGAUCAGUAGAAAUAAGUCUUCUACUAUCAUAUUAAUCUUACUAGUAUUUCCUAACUUUAUAUGUGUGGCUAGCUACUCUAGGGAUAACAGCGCAAUUUCUCCCGAAAGAUGGUAUUGGAGGGGAAGAUUGCGACCUCGAUGUUGGCUUUAGAUAUCCUAGAGGCGUAGAAGCUUCU
RNAcentral lists this ribosomal RNA (331 nucleotides) under Mytilus galloprovincialis (Mediterranean mussel). RNAcentral's name for it is "partial 16S ribosomal RNA". It matches the Rfam family "Bacterial large subunit ribosomal RNA", at positions 1989 to 2566 of the family's 2925-position model. Lineage: Eukaryota; Metazoa; Mollusca; Bivalvia; Mytilida; Mytilidae. The record is from RNAcentral.